GUGCUUAACACAUGCAAGUCGAACGAACCUUCGGGUUAGUGGCGGACGGGUGAGUAACGCGUGGGAAUCUGCCCUCAGGAGGGGGAUAACGGUUGGAAACGACCGCUAAUACCCCAUAUGCCGAGAGGUGAAAUGAAUUUCGCCUGAGGAUGAGCCCGCGUCUGAUUAGCUUGUUGGUGAGGUAAUGGCUCACCAAGGCAUCGAUCAGUAGCUGGUCUGAGAGGAUGAUCAGCCACACUGGGACUGAGACACGGCCCAGACUCCUACGGGAGGCAGCAGUGGGGAAUUUUCCGCAAUGGGCGAAAGCCUGACGGAGCAACGCCGCGUGAGGGACGAAGGCCUCUGGGCUGUAAACCUCUUUUCUCAAGGAAGAAGAUAUGACGGUACUUGAGGAAUAAGCCACGGCUAAUUCCGUGCCAGCAGCCGCGGUAAUACGGGAGUGGCAAGCGUUAUCCGGAAUUAUUGGGCGUAAAGCGUCCGCAGGCGGCCUUUCAAGUCUGCUGUUAAAGCGUGGAGCUUAACUCCAUCAUGGCAGUGGAAACUGAUUGGCUUGAGUAUGGUAGGGGCAGAGGGAAUUCCCGGUGUAGCGGUGAAAUGCGUAGAUAUCGGGAAGAACACCAGUGGCGAAGGCGCUCUGCUGGGCCAUUACUGACGCUCAUGGACGAAAGCCAGGGGAGCGAAAGGGAUUAGAUACCCCUGUAGUCCUGGCCGUAAACGAUGAACACUAGGUGUCGGGGGAAUCGACCCCUUCGGUGUCGUAGCUAACGCGUUAAGUGUUCCGCCUGGGGAGUACGCAC
Molecule: ribosomal RNA, 797 nt
Filed under: uncultured cyanobacterium
Lineage: Bacteria; Bacillati; Cyanobacteriota
Description: bacterial SSU rRNA
Rfam family: Bacterial small subunit ribosomal RNA
Source: RNAcentral